UGGGGAAUAUUGCACAAUGGGGAAGACCCUGAUGCAGCGACGCCGCGUGAGUGAAGAAGUAUUUCGGUAUGUAAAGCUCUAUCAGCAGGGAAGAACAUGACGGUACCUGACUAAGAAGCCCGCUACUACGUGCCAGCAGCCGCGGUAAUACGUAGGGGCGAAGCGUUAUCCGGAUUUAUUGGGUGUAAAGGGUGCGUAGACGGGAAUGCAAGUUGGUUGUGAAAUCCCUCGGCUCAACCGAGGAAUUGCAACCAAAACUAUAUUUCUUGAGUGCUGGAGAGGGAAGUGGAAUUCCUAGUGUAGCGGUGAAAUGCGUAGAUAUUAGGAGGAACACCAGUGGCGAAGGCGACUUUCUGGACAGUAACUGACGUUGAGGCACGAAAGUGUGGGGAGCAAACAGGAUUAGAUACCC
RNAcentral lists this ribosomal RNA (412 nucleotides) under uncultured bacterium. Its description in RNAcentral is "bacterial SSU rRNA". It matches the Rfam family "Bacterial small subunit ribosomal RNA", at positions 355 to 787 of the family's 1533-position model. The record is from RNAcentral.